Molecule: ribosomal RNA, 497 nt
Filed under: uncultured bacterium
Lineage: Bacteria
Description: partial 16S ribosomal RNA
Rfam family: Bacterial small subunit ribosomal RNA
Source: RNAcentral
GACGAACGCUGGCGGCGUGCCUAAUACAUGCAAGUCGAACGGACGGACGAGAAGCUUGCUUCACUGAUGUUAGCGGCGGACGGGUGAGAAACACGUGGAUAACCCACCUAUAAGACUGGGAUAAAGUCGGGAAGCGGGAGCUAAUGCCGGAUAAUAUUUUGAACCGGAUGGUUCAAGAGUGAAAGACGGUCUUGCUGUCACUUAUCGAUGGAUCCGCGCUUCAUUAGCUAGUUGGUAAGGUAACGGCUUACCAAGGAAACGAUGCAUAGCCGACGUGAGAGGGUGAUCGGCCACACUGGAACUGAGACACGGUCCUGACUCCUACGUGAGGCACCAGUAGGGAAUCUUCCGCAAUGGGCGGAAGCCUGACGGAGCGGCGCCGCGUGAGUGAUGCAGGUCUUCGGAUCGUAAAACGCUGUUAUUGGGGAAGAACAUAUGUGUAAGUAACUGUGCACAUCUUGACGGUACCUAAUCAGAAAGCCACGGCUAACUACGUG